GCCAGCAGCCGCGGUAACACGGAAGCCCCGAGCGUUGUUUCGGAUUCAUUGGGCGUAAAGGGUGCGUAGGCGGCGCGGAAAGUCCGGCGUGAAAGGCAGGGGCUCAACCUCUGGACUGCGUUGGAUACUUCCGUGCUUGAGGACUGGAGGGGAGACUGGAAUUCACGGUGUAGCAGUGAAAUGCGUAGAUAUCGUGAGGAAGACCGGUGGCGAAGGCGAGUCUCUGGACAGAUCCUGACGCUGAGGCACGAAGGCUGGGGGAGCGAACAGGAUUAGAUACCCUGGUAGUCCCAGCAGUAAACGAUGUGAGCUUGAUGUGGGGGGAUUCGACCCCUUCCGUGUCGAAGCUAACGCGAUAAGCUCACCGCCUGAGGAGUACGGCCGCAAGGCUAAAACUCAAAGAAAUUGACGGGGACCCGCACAAGCGGUGGAGUAUGUGGCUUAAUUCGAUGCAACGCGAAGAACCUUACCUGGCCUUGACAUGCAUUGUGUCGUCGGUGAAAGCCGGCUAGUCCUGGAAACAGGACGCUUUGCACAGGUGCUGCAUGGCUGUCGUCAGCUCGUGUCGUGAGAUGCUGGGUUAAGUCCCGCAACGAGCGCAACCCUUGUGGUCAGUUACUAACCGGCUUAGCCGGAGGACUCUGGCCAGACUGCCCUGUCAAACGGGGAGGAAGGUGGGGACGACGUCAAGUCAGUAUGGCCCUUAUGGCCAGGGCUGCACACGUACUACAAUGCCCGGUACAAUGUGAACCGAAACCGCGAGGUGGAGGAAAUCGCUCUUGAAAACCGGGCCCAGUUCGGAUUGGAGUCUGCAACUCGACUCCAUGAAGUCGGAAUCGCUAGUAAUGGCGUAUCAGCAACGACGCCGUGAUACGUUCCCGGGUCUUGUACACACCGCCCGUCACAUCAUGGAAGUCUCCUGUACCCGAAGCACGUGCGCCAACCUUUCAGGAGGCAGCGUUCGAAGGUAUGGGAUCUACCUGGGAUGAAGU
Molecule: ribosomal RNA, 992 nt
Filed under: uncultured organism
Description: bacterial SSU rRNA
Rfam family: Bacterial small subunit ribosomal RNA
Source: RNAcentral